AGCCAGUAUUAGAGGCACUGCCUGCCCAGUGACUUAAUCGUUAAACGGCCGCGGUAUCUUGACCGUGCAAAGGUAGCAUAAUCACUUGUUCUCUAAAUAAGGACUUGUAUGAAUGGCCACACGAGGGUUUUACUGUCUCUUACUUUUAAUCAGUGAAAUUGACCUCCCCGUGAAGAGGCGGGGAUAAUAAAAUAAGACGAGAAGACCCUAUGGAGCUUUAAUUAAUCAACUCAAAAAAAUCGUAAAACAGUACCACUAAGGGAUAACAAAAUUUUAUAUGGGUUGACAAUUUCGGUUGGGGUGACCUCGGAGUAUAAAAAACCCUCCGAGUGAUUAAAACCUAGGCCUACUAGCCAAAGUGUAGCAUCACUUAUUGAUCCAAAUUUUUGAUCAACGGAACAAGUUACCCUAGGGAUAACAGCGCAAUCCUAUUCUAGAGUCCGUAUCGACAAUAGGGUUUACGACCUCGAUGUUGGAUCAGGACAUCCUGAUGGUGCAGCNGCUAUCAAGGGUUCGUUUGUU
This 522-nucleotide ribosomal RNA is filed under the name Phocoena phocoena (harbor porpoise). RNAcentral's name for it is "partial 16S ribosomal RNA". It matches the Rfam family "Bacterial large subunit ribosomal RNA", at positions 1838 to 2581 of the family's 2925-position model. Lineage: Eukaryota; Metazoa; Chordata; Mammalia; Artiodactyla; Phocoenidae. The record is from RNAcentral.